This 1646-nucleotide unclassified non-coding RNA is filed under the name Dendronephthya gigantea. RNAcentral describes it as "cytochrome c oxidase assembly protein COX18, mitochondrial-like, transcript variant X2". Lineage: Eukaryota; Metazoa; Cnidaria; Anthozoa; Malacalcyonacea; Nephtheidae. The record is from RNAcentral.
UUGAAGACAAUGAAGACUAUUCCGAUGUUGCGAGUCCGUUAUUCAAAAUGCAGGUUAAAUGUGGCCAGUGCUUACAUUCCACAAUUCACUCCAAGACGUAAUUUGACUGAAACAACUGCUGCUGAGAAUACCUCAGAUUAUCUCCCAAUAUCUAUUGCACAAAAUUUUCUAGAAACUGUACAUGAUUACACUCAUCUGCCAUGGUGGUGUACAAUAGUGGUAACUUGCAUUGGACUACGGUCUGUCAUUACAUUGCCAUUGGCUGUACAUCAAAAUAAACUGCUCACAAAGAUAGAAUUACUGCAACCUACCUUGAAAGAAUUAACAGAGGCUUUAAAACAUCGAGUUACCAUUGAAUGUAGAAAUAAAGGAAUGUCAUCACAGGCUGCUAAUAACAUAUUUAAGAGGAAGCUGCGAAAAUAUACCUAUAAUCUGUACAGUACAAAUGGAUGUAAUCCUAUCAAGCUUUAUACUCUACCCUGGGCACAAAUACCAUUAUGGAUAAUUUUAUCAUUGGCAUUAAGAAAUCUUAGUGGAACCUUUAGGUGGGAUUCAAAAGGUGAGAAUCCAUUCCCACCACAUCCAGAUAUGUCAAAAGAAGGCACUCUGUGGUUUUCAGAUCUCACAGUACCAGAUUACACGGGAAUACUGCCGGUAUUUCUGGGCAUAGCAAAUCUUGCAAACAUUGAGCUCCAUUCACUCAAAAAGAAGAAUCCUGCUUUAAAACAACGAACGAUCACUAUGUUAUUCCGAUUAUUGUCUCUAUGCAUGAUUGCUGUUGCCCUCAAAGUACCCGCGGCCAUGUCGUUGUAUUGGAGUGCAUCAGCCGGCUUUGGACUUCUUCAGAAUAUAUCUUUAAAGUUCCCUCGCGUGCGCAGAAUUCUUCGUAUUCCUAAGACUCCAUCAGAGAGUGCGAUGCCUUUCAAAGAUAUCGCCUCGAUUAUUGCUGGUCGCGCUAAGAAAUUUCUAGAAAUCCAAAGAGAAAACAUGAAAAAGAAAUAGUUCAUGGCAAUGUCGAAAGCAGCGACGUUUUUGACACUUAUGGAAGUCAAGCGGAAGCAACAAGAAUGGUCCAGUUUCUAAAUAAUACAUUUAACACAAAGAAAUUGAUCCUGGCAGCCAUAAAUGAUGAAGGUUCAGACAAAAUGACACAAGAUGCAUACAACGCACUCUCUAAAGUCGCAGGAGAAAGCAUUGCAACAUUAAGUUUUCGAAGUUCAUUUGCCAUGAUUGGUUUUUCAGACAAACAAAAACCUUCUUUCGUAAAACAUAUGCAAAGAGUUGCAGGACGUGGACCAUGCGUCUUUCAAGAAACAAUCGAAAUUUAAAUCAAUAUAUAGUCAUAGUUCAUGCAUGAUCAUCAGAUAACUGAUCACGAUCGAAUUUAUUGAUCGCCUUCCGACUUUCCAGGCCGAAACAAAGAUAAUAGUAAACAGUCAAAAAUUGUAAUGUCUUCAUUGUAAAUCUAGAUCUUAAUCAUCCACUAUAUUCUAAUAGCACUGACUGAACACGAUUCAUAUAAUUGCGAGGGAUUUCCUUAGUUAGUAUAUUUUGCUAAAUCCAUGAAAUAAUCUGAGCAUGCAGUCGUAAUUUAAAGAUGAUAUUUCACAUAUCGCACUUAAUUUAGAUUAGAUAAUUUCUCUCAG